This is a long non-coding RNA of Carassius gibelio (silver crucian carp), 1691 nucleotides long. RefSeq lists it as uncharacterized. Lineage: Eukaryota; Metazoa; Chordata; Actinopteri; Cypriniformes; Cyprinidae. The record is from RefSeq and is a predicted model, not a curated record. The transcript is spliced from 5 exons.
UAAUGUUUUAAAUAAUUUUAAAAAAUCCUGUUUGCUUUUCUCAGGUGUGUAGCUUUAGAGAUAACCAAGAAACUAUUUAAGGACUUGCUUACUCAUUGGGUAGAAAUGGAAUCAUAAAAAAUCUUUCAUCUGCUCCAUUUCCACCAAUUGCUAAACCCACAAACUGAAUUGAGGGAUAUUAUUCAUCUCUGCUGCUUUCAAAAACUAACCAGAUGAAGACUUGGUAGACAGGAUGUUACACAAACAUCCUGGAUGUUCUCAGAUGUGCUUUCCUGAUGUCUUGCCACCUCUAGCGCUUUUGAAGGUAGCAUUUUUCAGCUUUCAGAAAGCAAGAUAAGUGCUAUCUGCCAAGAGCUGCUUUGAUGCAGCAGAACCAAAACCUACACUUACCUAAAACUUUAACACUAGCUGUAACAAAUCUACUUCGGAGUUUUCAAUUUUAGAAGGAAAAGCACUGAGAAUAUGACGUGCUACAGAAUCUGCCUGUGGGGACAUCAGCGACCUUUUAUUUCAGAGACCUUUGCCCACAACUGGGAUGGACGAUGGUAAGAGUGAUUUGCAAAAUGUAACUCUGAGAGUAUCAAACUUUAAAACAUCACUGCUCUGCAGGUUUUUCUGGCAGAGUAAAUGUGUCCCCAACUGAUAUAUCUCCUCUUCUAUGUCCUGUACAUCUAUAACCACAAACACACCUUCAUCUCCAGCUCUCAUCAUGUGGGCAAGUACCUUUUGUCCUCAAUGGAAGAAAUAAAGUCAUGGAUUUCAAAUUUUUAUUACAUUUUUAUUUUCUCUUCAGUCUGGCUUGUGCUUGUUACUCUUUCCUCUACAUUAAGAGGCUAUUUGAAACUAUCUUUGUGCAUCGAUUUUCUAAUUGCACCAUGCCUCUCAGAGCCAUUAUUAGGAAUUGUGUUUAUUAGCCUACUGGGAUUUUGCAACUUGGCUAUAGCAUACUACAUUAACCACCCUCUCUACACACCACCAUCAUAUGGAGAUACACAGGUCAAAAAUGUCUGAGAUUCCCACAUCCAUCUAAAAACCCUUUUAUGUGGCUCUUUUACUUUGUAUCAUGUCCCAUCUACACAUGAGGUGAGUGUUUAGGUGGGCCUGUCUAUCAUGACCCAGUGUGUGGCAGGUUUCAAAUGACCAUCUGGGCCAAAGGAAAACACAAAACUUAAACCCGGGAGUUCAAGGACUACCCAUACUUCCACACGUCAAUCCUCCCUUUCAUCCUCUGACAUUCAUAUAAACCAAUGUCAGGUCAAAAUCCAGAGACAUUAUGAUUUCAGAUGAGAGAACUGGGACACUUCUGAACAGCUGCAUGAAAAUGAGGCUGAUUUAUGAAACCCUGUGAAAAGGAUUAUGAAGUUAAAUCCGCUUUUCAGCAAUAUCUGACGUUUAUCAUGCAAGAUGACGUCUAACAUUGUUGUGUUUACUAUGGUAUGCCACUUGGGAAUUUAAAUAAGCAGAUUUGUAGGAAUUUGUGUUGACACAAGAUAUUUCUGUUGGUUAAAUCAUUUCCACAACUAUCCAUGUGCAAAAUACAGCACUUUACCUCUGUAGUCCAACUACUUCAGCAUGAAAGAAAAUCGUUUUUCUUCAUUUGUUUUACUUGAAAUCUAAAUAAGUGGUUCAAAUGGUUAUAAAAUAAAAAAAUUUACCGACUCCAUUUAAUACAUUUUUCUAGACUGUUUUGA